Long non-coding RNA from Hypanus sabinus (Atlantic stingray), 248 nucleotides. RefSeq lists it as uncharacterized. Lineage: Eukaryota; Metazoa; Chordata; Chondrichthyes; Myliobatiformes; Dasyatidae. The record is from RefSeq and is a predicted model, not a curated record. The transcript has 3 exons.
UUUGUUUCCAGCGCCUCCUAAAUUAGUGACAAUGGAUGGCAGUUUCACUUGAUUUGUAUCACUGAGGUUUACAUCAUACCAACGCUGAAGUUGAUGAAGUUGUUCUUCUCCAGAAAGAAUUCUUUUCGACAAAUAGUGAUGAAUACAUAGAUAAGUAUUGUAGGAGAGGCCAUUCACACAUUUGCUCUUGGACAAAAAUAUGGCCUUUGCAAUUGACACAUCUUCAAGCAAAUUUAUUUUCCUUCGGC